CUACGGAACUCCUACGGGAGGCAGCAGUGGGGAAUAUUGCACAAUGGGCGAAAGCCUGAUGCAGCGACGCCGCGUGGGGGAUGACGGUCUUCGGAUUGUAAACUCCUUUCAGUAGGGACGAAGCGAAAGUGACGGUACCUGCAGAAGAAGCACCGGCCAACUACGUGCCAGCAGCCGCGGUAAUACGUAGGGUGCAAGCGUUGUCCGGAAUUACUGGGCGUAAAGAGCUCGUAGGCGGUUUGUCACGUCGUCUGUGAAAUCCUCCAGCUCAACUGAGGGCGUGCAGGCGAUACGGGCAGACUUGAGUACUACAGGGGAGACUGGAAUUCCUGGUGUAGCGGUGAAAUGCGCAGAUAUCAGGAGGAACACCGAUGGCGAAGGCAGGUCUCUGGGCCGUUACUGACGCUGAGGAGCGAAAGCAUGGGGAGCGAACAGGAUUAGAUACCCCGGUAGUCCUCUUCGA
Molecule: ribosomal RNA, 463 nt
Filed under: uncultured bacterium
Lineage: Bacteria
Description: bacterial SSU rRNA
Rfam family: Bacterial small subunit ribosomal RNA
Source: RNAcentral